Malania oleifera is the source of this 92-nucleotide small nucleolar RNA. RefSeq annotates it as small nucleolar RNA R24. The record is from RefSeq and is a predicted model, not a curated record. Lineage: Eukaryota; Viridiplantae; Streptophyta; Magnoliopsida; Santalales; Ximeniaceae. The transcript has a single exon.
AAUGCAAUGAUGACCAGCUUAUUCGUGAGAAGAUUCCGAAUUUUAUUUUGGAUCUUCACUGAAAUCACUGUUACGCUUGGCUUCUGAGCUCU